AGGCGAACGGGUGAGUAACACGUGGGCAAUCUGCCCUUCACUCUGGAACAAGCCCUGGAAACGGGGUCUAAUACCGGAUAACACUUCCCUCCUCCUGGGGGGUGGUUAAAAGCUCCGGCGGUGAAGGAUGAGCCCGCGGCCUAUCAGCUUGUUGGUGAGGUAAUGGCUCACCAAGGCGACGACGGGUAGCCGGCCUGAGAGGGCGACCGGCCACACUGGGACUGAGACACGGCCCAGACUCCUACGGGAGGCAGCAGUGGGGAAUAUUGCACAAUGGGCGAAAGCCUGAUGCAGCGACGCCGCGUGAGGGAUGACGGCCUUCGGGUUGUAAACCUCUUUCAGCAGGGAAGAAGCGAAAGUGACGGUACCUGCAGAAGAAGCGCCGGCUAACUACGUGCCAGCAGCCGCGGUAAUACGUAGGGCGCAAGCGUUGUCCGGAAUUAUUGGGCGUAAAGAGCUCGUAGGCGGCUUGUCACGUCGGUUGUGAAAGCCCGGGGCUUAACCCCGGGUCUGCAGUCGAUACGGGCAGGCUAGAGUGUGGUAGGGGAGAUCGGAAUUCCUGGUGUAGCGGUGAAAUGCGCAGAUAUCAGGAGGAACACCGGUGGCGAAGGCGGAUCUCUGGGCCAUUACUGACGCUGAGGAGCGAAAGCGUGGGGAGCGAACAGGAUUAGAUACCCUGGUAGUCCACGCCGUAAACGGUGGGAACUAGGUGUUGGCGACAUUCCACGUCGUCGGUGCCGCAGCUAACGCAUUAAGU
RNAcentral lists this ribosomal RNA (757 nucleotides) under Streptomyces kunmingensis. RNAcentral's name for it is "bacterial SSU rRNA". It matches the Rfam family "Bacterial small subunit ribosomal RNA", at positions 96 to 865 of the family's 1533-position model. The record is from RNAcentral. Lineage: Bacteria; Bacillati; Actinomycetota; Actinomycetes; Kitasatosporales; Streptomycetaceae.